AACCAAUACAUCACAAUGAGGGUGGUGAACCCCCUUUGAGUCUUCCUGGGAGAAGGUGAUUGGGGUCAUCCUAUUUGCUGCUUGCGAUUCAUUGACAAUGUAAGUGAUCAUUGGGGGGUCCUUUGCUUUCCUUGUGUAAUUUCUCUGGACAUUCCUGGUGUUGCCACCGACGUGGGGUCCCCCAAUGAUAGUAUCGAUCACCCUGAUGACUUGGCUUCCAGAAAACUGGGCUCGGUUUCCCUGUCUUGAUUGACCUCGGUCCCUUGAUUCUCUUCUACGAGGAGAUUGUUCCCUGUGACCUCUCCCUCCCCUUCUCGGGGAGGCAAAUCUGCGAGGGUAUUCGUCCUUGCUGGAAGGGUGCGGGUUACUUCGAUCAGGGCAUCGAUUGGCAUCUCGGCACUCACUUGUGUCAUGUCCAUAGAGUUGAUGGAACGUACAAAACCUUGCCCCUUCCAAGGGUCUGUUUGACAUUUUCUUCUUCUUCUUGUUAUUAGCUCUUCCAGAUGGUCCCGCUUCGGCAGGGGCAUUAUCAUAUGCCAAUACCGGUACUGCAUUCAAUGUGGCGAAAGCUAGGGCCUGUCCGGAUGUGGGAGCUAUUGUAUGACCUGCUUGGGUCCAUUGCCGUGUAACAAGGUGUGCUGCGGGUCCUCGACCUACGUGCCUUUGAGGAGGAGGGAGUCCCUGCGUGGCACGGUUGUGAUGAUGAAUCAUUUAUUCACUAACAAUUUUCACUCUCAUCAUUUCCACCAGCUCGUCAUAUGUGGAGGGAUUCUUGCUACGCACGUCCCUCCAAAACAAAGUGUUCAUAUUGAGCCCACCUUUUAGGGCUGAAAGGGUUUCGCUGUCAGUGACCUGUUCGCAGU
Molecule: long non-coding RNA, 863 nt
Filed under: Olea europaea subsp. europaea
Lineage: Eukaryota; Viridiplantae; Streptophyta; Magnoliopsida; Lamiales; Oleaceae
Source: RNAcentral